GAUGAACGCUGGCGGCGUGCUUAAUACAUGCAAGUCGAGCGAAGCGCUUUAACGGAAUUCUCCGGAAGGAAGAUAAAGUGACUGAGCGGCGGACGGGUGAGUAACGCGUGGGUAACCUGCCUCAUACAGGGGGAUAACAGUUAGAAAUGGCUGCUAAUACCGCAUAAGCGCACAGGACCGCAUGGUCUGGUGUGAAAAACUCCGGUGGUAUGGGAUGGACCCGCGUUGGAUUAGGUAGUUGGUGGGGUAACGGCCUACCAAGCCGACGAUCUAUAGCCGGCCUGAGAGGGUGGACGGCCACAUUGGGACUGAGACACGGCCCAGACUCCUACGGGAGGCAGCAGUAGGGAAUAUUGCACAAUGGGGGAAACCCUGAUGCAGCGACGCCGCGUGAAGGAAGAAGUAUCUCGGUAUGUAAACUUCUAUCAGCAGGGAAGACAAUGACGG
RNAcentral lists this ribosomal RNA (447 nucleotides) under uncultured bacterium. RNAcentral's name for it is "bacterial SSU rRNA". It matches the Rfam family "Bacterial small subunit ribosomal RNA", at positions 28 to 457 of the family's 1533-position model. The record is from RNAcentral.